AUGAACGCUGGCGGCGUGCUUAACACAUGCAAGUCGAACGAAGCACUUUGUUACGAUUUCUUCGGAAUGACGAUUUAGUGACUGAGUGGCGGACGGGUGAGUAACGCGUGGGUAACCUGCCUUAUACAGGGGGAUAACAGUUGGAAACGACUGCUAAUACCGCAUAAGCGCACGGUAUCGCAUGAUACAGUGUGAAAGACUCCGGUGGUAUAAGAUGGACCCGCGUCUGAUUAGCUUGUUGGUGAGGUAACGGCCCACCAAGGCGACGAUCAGUAGCCGGCCUGAGAGGGUGAACGGCCACAUUGGGACUGAGACACGGCCCAAACUCCUACGGGAGGCAGCAGUGGGGAAUAUUGCACAAUGGGGGAAACCCUGAUGCAGCGACGCCGCGUGAGUGAUGAAGUAUUUCGGUAUGUAAAACUCUAUCAGCAGGGAAGAUAAUGACGGUACCUGACUAAGAAGCACCGGCUAAAUACGUG
RNAcentral lists this ribosomal RNA (479 nucleotides) under uncultured bacterium. RNAcentral's name for it is "bacterial SSU rRNA". It matches the Rfam family "Bacterial small subunit ribosomal RNA", at positions 29 to 507 of the family's 1533-position model. The record is from RNAcentral.